Long non-coding RNA from Alligator sinensis (Chinese alligator), 568 nucleotides. RefSeq lists it as uncharacterized. The record is from RefSeq and is a predicted model, not a curated record. NCBI's taxonomy places the organism in Eukaryota, Metazoa, Chordata, Crocodylia, Alligatoridae. The transcript has 4 exons.
GAUGGCUGCAAUGCACUUGAAGCAUUUCAGUUGGGGGCUCAGUUGUAUACCAGCAGACUGCAUUUUUGCUACUAAUCUGCAGAAAACAAGCUGGAGAGGAAGCAGUAUUGAGACUGGAAAUUCAGGCACCUGGCCUAAGCCUUAUGGAGAGGGGCAGCUGGGUGUAGCUCUGCAUGAGCCAACUCCCUUCCAUGCACCAGCGAGAGGGACCCACUAGACAUUUGGACACAAAGGACUUCCCUCCAUCAUCAUGGUGCUGCGUCAGUGGUCAGCUAUUACAGAUGUUGGAUAAAAACCGUGCACAGGUAAAAAAAAACCCUUGAAAGGGAAAACCUCGGUGAGAUCAUGUUACAGAAAUACAAGAAAGGUGAACCCCAGUUUUCAAUCAGAUGUUCUGUGCCAACAAGAGGUUUCUGACUGUGCAGCUUCAGGUCACAGCCUGGAACAAGCCACGUGGCGAUGGAUGCCCCUCGACCCCAAUCAGACUGAUAUUGGGAAUAAAUAAAACAACCCUGUGAUUUUAACUGCAAGCAAGCACAUCAACUCCACUUCACUCAGGCUAUUUAAU